Molecule: ribosomal RNA, 962 nt
Filed under: bioreactor metagenome
Description: bacterial LSU rRNA
Rfam family: Bacterial large subunit ribosomal RNA
Source: RNAcentral
AAGGUAGCGAAAUUCCUUGUCGGGUAAGUUCCGACCUGCACGAAUGGCGUAACGACUUCCCCACUGUCUCCAGCACACACUCAGUGAAAUUGAAUUCCCCGUGAAGAUGCGGGGUUCCUGCGGUUAGACGGAAAGACCCCGUGCACCUUUACUGUAGCUUUACACUGGCAAUCGUGUUUGCAUGUGUAGGAUAGGUGGUAGGCUUUGAAGCAGGGGCGCCAGCUCUUGUGGAGCCGCAAUGUGAAAUACCACCCUUAUGAACAUGGUUGUCUAACCGCGGACCGUCAUCCGGUCCCGGGACAUUGUAUGGUAGGCAGUUUGACUGGGGCGGUCGCCUCCUAAAUGGUAACGGAGGCGUGCGAAGGUGGGCUCAGGUUGGUCGGAAAUCAACCGUCGAGUGCAAUGGCAUAAGCCCGCCUGACUGCGAGACUGACAAGUCGAGCAGAGUCGAAAGACGGCCAUAGUGAUCCGGUGGUUCUGUGUGGAAGGGCCAUCGCUCAACGAAUAAAAGGUACGCCGGGGAUAACAGGCUGAUGAUUCCCAAGAGUCCAUAUCGACGGAAUCGUUUGGCACCUCGAUGUCGGCUCAUCUCAUCCUGGGGCUGGAGCAGGUCCCAAGGGUAUGGCUGUUCGCCAUUUAAAGAGGUACGUGAGCUGGGUUCCGAACGUCGCGAGACAGUUCGGUCCCUAUCUGCCGUAGGCGUUGGAGAAUUGAGAGGAUCUGUCCUUAGUACGAGAGGACCGGGUUGGACGCACCUCUGGUGGACCUGUUGUCGCGCCAGCGGCACAGCAGGGUAGCUAUGUGCGGACGGGAUAACCGCUGAAGGCAUCUAAGCGGGAAACCCACCUCGAGAUCAGUUCUCCCUUGAGAGCCGUUGUAGACCACAACGUUGAUAGGCCGGGUGUGGAAGUGCAGCAAUGCAUGUAGCUUACCGGUACUAAUAGCUCGAUCGAACUUCGAUC